RNAcentral lists this ribosomal RNA (435 nucleotides) under Klebsiella pneumoniae. RNAcentral's name for it is "bacterial SSU rRNA". It matches the Rfam family "Bacterial small subunit ribosomal RNA", at positions 575 to 1009 of the family's 1533-position model. Lineage: Bacteria; Pseudomonadati; Pseudomonadota; Gammaproteobacteria; Enterobacterales; Enterobacteriaceae. The record is from RNAcentral.
GCGGUCUGUCAAGUCGGAUGUGAAAUCCCCGGGCUCAACCUGGGAACUGCAUUCGAAACUGGCAGGCUAGAGUCUUGUAGAGGGGGGUAGAAUUCCAGGUGUAGCGGUGAAAUGCGUAGAGAUCUGGAGGAAUACCGGUGGCGAAGGCGGCCCCCUGGACAAAGACUGACGCUCAGGUGCGAAAGCGUGGGGAGCAAACAGGAUUAGAUACCCUGGUAGUCCACGCCGUAAACGAUGUCGAUUUGGAGGUUGUGCCCUUGAGGCGUGGCUUCCGGAGCUAACGCGUUAAAUCGACCGCCUGGGGAGUACGGCCGCAAGGUUAAAACUCAAAUGAAUUGACGGGGGCCCGCACAAGCGGUGGAGCAUGUGGUUUAAUUCGAUGCAACGCGAAGAACCUUACCUGGUCUUGACAUCCACAGAACUUUCCAGAGAUGG